This is a long non-coding RNA of Marmota monax (woodchuck), 831 nucleotides long. RefSeq lists it as uncharacterized. NCBI's taxonomy places the organism in Eukaryota, Metazoa, Chordata, Mammalia, Rodentia, Sciuridae. The record is from RefSeq and is a predicted model, not a curated record. The transcript is spliced from 3 exons.
CCUAAAGGGACUUCCUUAUCCACCGACUGCGGCUGGACUGAAGCCUAAAGUGAAAGGCAAACCACACGUACCAUGGAAGAUGAGGGCGUCUCUGGCCCUGUAGAAACGGGAAAGCACAGGUGACAGAAAUGUAAGGGCACAUCGUGCAAGUGAACAGAUUGAUACAAGGUCGUUGCCCACGAGGAUCCCAGGGACAAACUUCUUUAGUGACUGGCUUCGUGGAAGGCAGCUGGGUCCUCCGGUUGUGGUACCUGUGGGAGUUUCUGGAAGAGCGAGCGAGAGGGCCGGGGAAGAGAGACAGACGCCGUCUUCGCAUUAUGCCAGCCCUUGGUUCUCCUGGGGAGACAGCUGACAUUGAACAUGGUGAGUAAGAGGUGAGAGUCCCAGGGGGAGGACAGGGCUAGGGGAAGAGGCUCGGGCCCUGGGGUGUCCCAGGGCUGCGGAAACAAAGCUCCCCAUACUGGCCAUUCUUAGCAGAGUGGACUGGCACAUCUGGAGCCAAGUGAACAGGGCUGGCAUCUCUGGGGGCCUCAGGGAGGGACCCUGCCAUCCGUGGCCUGUGGCCCCCCCAUCUGCCUCCAUGCCCCCCCCCCCCGUGUGUACUCUCUUCUUUAUGUAAGGACACUGGCCAUCCAGGACGAUUUCAUCUCAAGAGGCCUCUCUGAUGACAUCUGCAGAGCACUUCAGAUAAGGCGCAUAGAUGUGAUCUAAGGGGCCAUGGUUACCCCAGGGGUUAGGGCGGACCUCAGAGAACGAACGCAGGGAGGGGCUAGGGAGCUGAGGGAGCCACAUGCUCUCUGGGGUGGACACGUCCCAGGUGAAGGGACGGCU